UCCGAGGCCGCUGCGAUGACCAAAAUAAAAGGAGAUCUGGACCGGCCCCGAGGCUCAGGCGUAGGCGUGCUCCAGGGAGCGCACCUACCGGGAGCUUCUGGUCAACUAGAACCCCAUCGCGCAGCCCCUAGCUUCUCGCUGCCUGGCGCAGAAGCUCUACAAAUCCAUCAAAAAAGCCCUGAAGCAGAAGCAGAUUCCGCGCGGGGUGAAAGAGGUUCAGAAGUUUGUCAACAAAGGAGAAAAAAGGAUCAUGGUUUUGGCAGGAGACACACUGCCCAUUGAGGUAUACUACCAUCUCCCAGUCAUGUGUGAGGACCGAAAUCUGCCCUGUGUCUAUAUCCCCUCUAAGACGGACCUGGGUGCAGCCGCAGGCACCAAGCACCCCACCUGUGUGAUAAUGGUCAAGCCCCACAAGGAGUACCAGGAAGCCUACGACCAGUGCCUGGGGGAGGUGCAGUCCCUGCCCCUAUCCCUGUGAGGGGACCUGGUAGCACCUAGGCAUCUGCCUCUGGAAGCUACUGGGUUGGCAGAGGGAUGACUGGCUGUCCUCUUGCCCACCCACACUGACGGCAUCUUCCCAGUUCCCCAAGGCACACCUUCUUCCCAGGCAGCUCUGACAGCCCUUUCAUGAGGUAACGCCAGCCAUUUCCUGUGGAACUUAAGUGAAGGCUAUCCCAAGAAUGUGGGAUGGGGAAAGUAAACACUAAGAC
Molecule: RNA transcript, 710 nt
Organism: Sapajus apella (tufted capuchin)
Lineage: Eukaryota; Metazoa; Chordata; Mammalia; Primates; Cebidae
Gene name: H/ACA ribonucleoprotein complex subunit 2 pseudogene
Exons: 1
Source: RefSeq, a predicted model, not a curated record